Molecule: ribosomal RNA, 328 nt
Filed under: uncultured eukaryote
Lineage: Eukaryota
Description: partial 18S ribosomal RNA
Rfam family: Eukaryotic small subunit ribosomal RNA
Source: RNAcentral
CCCUUAGAUGUUCUGGGCUGCACGCGCGCUACACUGAUGCGCUCAACGAGUUUUAACCUUGCCUGGAAAGGUUGGGUAAUCUUUUUAAAACGCAUCGUGAUGGGGAUAGAUUAUUGCAAUUAUUAAUCUUCAACGAGGAAUUCCUAGUAAGCGCGAGUCAUCAGCUCGUGCUGAUUACGUCCCUGCCCUUUGUACACACCGCCCGUCGCUCCUACCGAUUGAACGUUUUAGUGAGGUAUUUGGACUGGACCUUCGGAGGUUCGCGCCUCCGUUGCUGUUCGGGAAGACUCCCAAACUUGAGCGUUUAGAGGAAGUAAAAGUCGUAACA